RNAcentral lists this transfer RNA (48 nucleotides) under Kluyveromyces lactis. RNAcentral describes it as "partial transfer RNA". It matches the Rfam family "tRNA", at positions 1 to 46 of the family's 71-position model. From Rfam's summary of the family: Transfer RNA (tRNA) molecules are approximately 80 nucleotides in length. Lineage: Eukaryota; Fungi; Ascomycota; Saccharomycetes; Saccharomycetales; Saccharomycetaceae. The record is from RNAcentral.
GCCUUGUUGGCGCAAUCGGUAGCGCGUGUGACUCUUAAUCACAAGGUU